GAUGAACGCUAGCGGCAGGCCUAAUACAUGCAAGUCGAACGGGAUCUGAGGGUAGCUUGCUACCCGAUUUGAGAGUGGCGCACGGGUGCGUAACGCGUGAGCAACCUACCCAUAUCAGGGUGAUAGCCCGAAGAAAUUCGGAUUAACACCGCAUAAUAAUACGCUAACACAUGUUGAUGUAUUUAAAUAUUUAUAGGAUAUGGAUGGGCUCGCGUGACAUUAGCUAGUUGGUAAGGUAACGGCUUACCAAGGCGACGAUGUCUAGGGGCUCUGAGAGGAGAAUCCCCCACACUGGUACUGAGACACGGACCAGACUCCUACGGGAGGCAGCAGUAAGGAAUAUUGGUCAAUGGGCGCAAGCCUGAACCAGCCAUGCCGCGUGCAGGAUGACUGCCCUAUGGGUUGUAAACUGCUUUUGUUAGGGAAUAAACCUUCUUACGUGUAAGGAGCUGAAUGUACCUAAAGAAUAAGGAUCGGCUAACUCCGUGCCAGCCGCCGCCGUAA
Molecule: ribosomal RNA, 504 nt
Filed under: uncultured bacterium
Lineage: Bacteria
Description: partial 16S ribosomal RNA
Rfam family: Bacterial small subunit ribosomal RNA
Source: RNAcentral